ACAAAGGCUCUUUUCAGAGCCACUACACCUUCCCGGAAAGAGCUGU
Molecule: non-coding RNA, 46 nt
Organism: Rattus norvegicus (Norway rat)
Lineage: Eukaryota; Metazoa; Chordata; Mammalia; Rodentia; Muridae
Source: Rfam